UACGGGGGGGGCAAGCGUUGUUCGGAAUUACUGGGCGUAAAGGGCUCGUAGGCGGCCAACUAAGUCAGACGUGAAAUCCCUCGGCUUAACCGGGGAACUGCGUCUGAUACUGGAUGGCUUGAAUCCGGGAGAGGGAUGCGGAAUUCCAGGUGUAGCAGUGAAAUGCGUAGAUAUCAGGAGGAACACCGAUGGCGAAGGCAGGUCUCUGGGCUGACACUGACGCUCAUGCACGAAAGCGUGGGGAGCAAACAGG
RNAcentral lists this ribosomal RNA (253 nucleotides) under uncultured bacterium. RNAcentral describes it as "partial 16S ribosomal RNA". It matches the Rfam family "Bacterial small subunit ribosomal RNA", at positions 524 to 776 of the family's 1533-position model. The record is from RNAcentral.